UCUUGGUCAUUUAGAGGAAGUAAAAGUCGUAACAAGGUCUCCGUUGGUGAACCAGCGGAGGGAUCAUUAUCGAGUUAUUCAACUCCCAAACCCUAUGUGAACUUACCACUUGUUGCUUCGGCGCGCGCUUCGGCGCCGCCGAGGACACUUAAACUCUUUGUUUUUAUAAGCAUUUCUGAGUGGCCGAAAGGCAAAAAUACAAAUGAAUCAAAACUUUCAACAACGGAUCUCUUGGUUCUGGCAUCGAUGAAGAACGCAGCGAAAUGCGAUAAGUAAUGUGAAUUGCAGAAUUCAGUGAAUCAUCGAAUCUUUGAACGCACAUUGCGCCCGCCAGCAUUCUGGCGGGCAUGCCUGUUCGAGCGUCAUUUCAACCCUCGAGCCCGACUCUUUUGAGGACGGCUCGGCGUUGGGGGACGGCAGACUCCCCCCGGCAUCUCGCCGGGGACGCCGCCCCCGAAAUCUAGUGGCGGCCCUCCGAGGCGACCUCUGCGUAGUAACUUGUUCUCGCACCGGAAAGCUCAGAGCGGCCACGCCGUAAAACCCCAACUUUUUUCAGGUUGACCUCGAAUCAGGUA
RNAcentral lists this ribosomal RNA (575 nucleotides) under uncultured eukaryote. RNAcentral's name for it is "eukaryotic LSU rRNA". The stretch from base 212 to 365 matches the Rfam family "5.8S ribosomal RNA". The record is from RNAcentral. RNAcentral also lists the same sequence under 1 other name.